GUGGUCUUUCCAGGUCCAUUUUCUGCUUCAGCUUUAAUGAUGCAUUUUAAGGAGAGCCGUGUACUCUCUGUCUCUGUACUCAGACUGCAGCAAGUAUCGGCCCAGCCACCCUUUCAGAUCCACUUCAAGCAAACAGGCUAGAAACUGCUCCCCAUGGUUUUGUCUGAACUGGCUGACAUUCUGCAUCACACACUGGGUCCAAGGCUGGAGUCAGGAACCUAGAAGUGAGCGAGCAUCGAACUGCACUUAGCAGAGUGAGGCAGGCGGGCCUGCGAGAAAGGAUGUAGAUGUACUGCCUCCUGGACUGGGUCAGACAGUCACAGAAUACAGGCUUCAAACUGCUUUUCACACCAUUCUGGUUGGAAAUGGAACCUUUGGAGGCUCAUCAUGUUACCUUUAGCAAAACUGGAAACCAGACGUUGAGAAUGCCAGUGGCCAGCCUUUCAUUAAAAAGCUUUGCAAAGGAAGUCUCUCGACAUCUAUCUUCUGUGACCUCAAGAGCACCAUUCUGCGUAAGAUACUUGUGAGGAGAAGAGGAAGAUUUAGAUAAAAUUUGGGGUUUGGGACUUACAGAUCUAAGACUGGACAGAGAGCAACAAAACAUCUGGCAAAGGAUCUUGGAAAUCUGGCUGAGAAAUUUUUAAAAGUAUUCAUUUCUUGUCCCCCAUAGCUUGAAUAACUAAAAAGUUUCCCUAAAAAUUUUUAUUGGACUUGAGAAUAAGUCAUUACUUUUCCAGUGUGAAGAUGCUGAUAUUACUAGAGGCACUGGGCAUCUUAUGCCAUUUCUGUAACCUAUUUUUAUAUGGGUGAGCCAACAACAGCCAUUUUUGUCUUGAGUAGUAUCCAUGUAAUUGAAAAUGUGACAAUUCUUUUAAAACAUCAUCAACAGACUUCCUAAUUAAGCUGCCAAUACAAACUGAACUGUCAAUGUCACCGUGUGCUGUUUGACAAAUGAAUAGUGUUGCUUGAACCGUGUUAAGUAAACAGUGCUGUCCCUUCUAUGAAGAGUUUCAUGUUUUCUUUGUACCAUAGCACUUACUAAAUAACUUGACAAAAUUCUCA
RNAcentral lists this long non-coding RNA (1062 nucleotides) under Cricetulus griseus (Chinese hamster). Its description in RNAcentral is "lncRNA (ENSCGRG00015042049.1)". Lineage: Eukaryota; Metazoa; Chordata; Mammalia; Rodentia; Cricetidae. The record is from RNAcentral.